RNAcentral lists this small nuclear RNA (293 nucleotides) under Castor canadensis (American beaver). Its description in RNAcentral is "7SK RNA (ENSCCNG00000030444.1)". It matches the Rfam family "7SK RNA". Rfam says of the family: 7SK was discovered as an abundant small nuclear RNA in the mid-70s but a possible function has only recently been suggested. Two independent studies have found that 7SK RNA binds the CDK9/cyclin T complex (known as elongation factor P-TEFb). The record is from Rfam by way of RNAcentral. Lineage: Eukaryota; Metazoa; Chordata; Mammalia; Rodentia; Castoridae.
GGGUGUGUGGAUGAUCUGGCUGCAAUAUCUAUCACCCCACUGAUCAGCAGGGUUGAUUCAGCUGAUGUGGCUGUCCAGGCAGGUGACCUCUCCUCUCUCACUGCUCCAUGUGGGUCCCUCCUGAAGCUGCACACUCAGUCAAAGAGGUCAAUCAUCCCCAAUAGAGGACCUUUCUUCGGUGAAGGGUAUACGAGUAGCUGUGCUUCCCUGCUAGAACCUCCAAAUGAGAUCUCAAGAAGAAGAAGAGAAAGAUCUCAAGAAAGAUGUAAAAUCCAGUUCUGAGGUCAACCUCU